AACUCUCAAACUACAUCUUUAUUGAUGUUCAAGUUUGGAUUUGGACGUUGCUGGACGCGAGUUCGGCUCGUCUCGAAUGCAUUAGCUGUAGAUUUCGAUUUCAGUUAAACCGUGUGAUAAUACAUCAACGCGGGCAGCCGUCAAGGCGCUGGAUCGUUAGUUCGAAGGCUUCUAAUCGUCCUUUAGGACCGCCUUAACUGGUGUUUCAUUUCAC
Molecule: unclassified non-coding RNA, 214 nt
Filed under: uncultured Basidiomycota
Lineage: Eukaryota; Fungi; Basidiomycota
Description: sequence contains ITS2
Source: RNAcentral